UUUUUAAACAUAUAGAUACAUAUAUAUUGAUACACACACACAAUAUAAUUGGAAGGUAAUCUCAGAGGGAAGCCAUUAGCAGGAAGUCGGAAGCAGGGGCCUCCAGAGAGACCUACAGAACUGGGGAUUUGAGGGGCAGAGUCCUUCUCUUUAGCCUUAUCUAGUCAUGAAUUCCAGAGCCAUAGGAGCUUAGUAAGGGAAGGCAGUGAGACGGAGAACGGGAGGGAGAUGGGAAACAUCCCUCCCCUUUUGAACUUUAGAGUCUCACCCCAGCACCCAGGACCACACUCAGUGUCAUUGUCAGCGGUCCUGGCUCACACUGGGAAGUUCUGCGCUCUAGUCAACUGGGAAAUAGAUUUUGAUGUUUAAAAAAAAAAAGGAAAGGUUUCAUGAUAAAAAAGGCAUUCAUUCUCCCCAGCCGGCGGGAGGCUCUGGCCGUCCUGCUCCUGUCACCCCUGAGGAUUCUUCCAGCGCCAUCUCCAUCAGCUCGAGCAUCAGCUCAGCCAAGUUGGGACUCUUGGCACGGCCCCCGUGUAGAGCCCAGCCAAAGAAUUCCAUGCUGUGCACAUCUGCAGCGCGGAACGCGGGCCUUUCGGAGGGAGAUUUAUUGCUUUUGCUUCUUCCCCUCCUCCUCGUCGAAGGUUUCUGGAUGCUGUUCCUUGUGUACAGCAUGCGCCUCGGGCUUAUCGGGGACGGGAUCCAUUAAAUGCCCCACUAUGCUGGCUUGCUGCUGAUGCAAAGAGGAAAAGGACCAUCUGCCCUCAAGAAGCAGAUUCUGUCUAUUGUAGAAGAAAGAGGCAUCUAUACGACAGUAUUUGUGUUGGUGUCCUGGAUGCAGAUGUAGACACAUCUAGGUGCACACAUACACAUUAGCAAUAAAAUAUCUUUAAUGCUAGAAACUGUAAUUUGU
This 910-nucleotide long non-coding RNA is filed under the name Monodelphis domestica (gray short-tailed opossum). Its description in RNAcentral is "lncRNA (ENSMODG00000040639.1)". The record is from RNAcentral. Lineage: Eukaryota; Metazoa; Chordata; Mammalia; Didelphimorphia; Didelphidae.